ACUGGAUUCUGAAAGAAUGAAUAAAUAAAAUAAAUGAAAUCUUACAGUUAUUAGAAAAUGUAAAAGAUGAGAAACAGUAUGUUCUAUUGUACUGUAUAAGUACAGAAAUGAAUUUAGAGCUGCAGAUAGAAAUGAAGGACUUACCCUGAAUCCAGAGAGUGAGAGUCCAGAUGAAGAUGGAGAAGAAAGUCAUGGUUGCUGUGGGUGAAGUUGCUGGGCAGCAGCUCUCAGUCAUGAAGUGUUAAACUCACAGGACUAUAAACACUAGCAGAGCACUGAAGCAUGGGCUGAUAAUGCAAAGUGGAACCUCUCUAUGGAAAUAUCUAGAACCCCUCCUGAACCUAAAACACAACAAAGAAAACACUCUAAAUAUUACAGAACAAUAUUACACUCACACCAUUUUAUACACCCAGAUUCUGACUGGAUACAUCUGAUACACAUCCAGAGGACUGAGUGUGUGUGUGUGAGUGUGUGUGAGUGUGUGUGUGUGUGUGUGUGUGUGGUUCAUCACUGGAGUGUAACAGAGGUUUUUGUACGACGGCUUCAUUGGAAUGUAUCACUGUGGUACACUUUCGGUGGAGGAACUAAACUCACUAUAACCGGUCCCACGGUGAAGCCCUCCGUGUCUCUGCUCCGCCCCUCCUCUCUGCAGCUGUCUGAGGGCUCCGCCUCUCUGCUCUGCCUGCUGUCUGGCUACUCUCCACAGGGGGCGCUGGUCAGCUGGACGGUGGACGGCUCAGAGGUGAAGGACGGGGUUCUGACCAGUGCAGAAGAAGAGAAGAACGGCCGCUACAGCCGUAGCAGCACCCUGACCCUCAGCAAAGCACUCUGGGAAAAGGGGGAGGAGUUUAUCUGCACCGUCACCCACGAAAAGGUGGUUCAGCCAAUCAGGUUGAGGAAGAGCGAGUGUGAAGGCUAGCAGCUCCAAGAUAGAAGUGAACAUAGAGCUGCUUCCACCUGCAUCUCCAAUAGAGUGUAAAUUCUACACAGUGCUGAUAUUUGUGUCUUUACUCUGGUCAGUGUGCUGUAGCUGUCCCCAUACUUUUGCUGUGCUGAAAUAAAGCUGGAUUUUGGACACUGUGUGUGUUGUAUUGUAAUGAAUGCUGAUGAUCAGUGUUGGUAGAGAGUGUGUUUAGCUGCAGCUUCAGUGCAGUGCUGUGUGUGUUGUGCU
Molecule: non-coding RNA, 1171 nt
Organism: Astyanax mexicanus (Mexican tetra)
Lineage: Eukaryota; Metazoa; Chordata; Actinopteri; Characiformes; Acestrorhamphidae
Source: the annotation of a RefSeq genome assembly